GACAGAGGUGCCGAGCGUUAGGCGGAAUCACUGGGCUUAAAAGCGUGUGUAGGCGGAUCGUUAGGUGCCUUGUGAAAUCCCACGGCUCAACCGUGGAACUGCUUGGCAUACUGGCGAUCUUGAGCCACUUAGGGGCUACCGGAACAAAUGGUGGAGCGGUGAAAAUGCGUAGAUAUCAUUUGGAACGCCAAUGGUGAAAACAGGUAGCUGGGAGUGUGCUGACGCUGAGACACGAAAGCCAGGGGAGCAAACGGG
This 255-nucleotide ribosomal RNA is filed under the name uncultured bacterium. Its description in RNAcentral is "partial 16S ribosomal RNA". It matches the Rfam family "Bacterial small subunit ribosomal RNA", at positions 524 to 776 of the family's 1533-position model. The record is from RNAcentral.